Molecule: non-coding RNA, 78 nt
Organism: Schistosoma mattheei
Lineage: Eukaryota; Metazoa; Platyhelminthes; Trematoda; Strigeidida; Schistosomatidae
Source: Rfam
AGCUUUACGAAUCCGUGCUGAGAUUUCGUCAGACACCAACCCAUUAUGGCUGAUCUGACUUCCAAGAUAAGUGAAGUU